AAAACCUUAGGUUAAUAUUAAACCAUCAGCCUUCAAAGCUAAAAAUAGGGAGAUAAUCCUAGGUUUUG
This 68-nucleotide transfer RNA is filed under the name Thelepus plagiostoma. RNAcentral describes it as "tRNA-Trp". It matches the Rfam family "tRNA". Rfam says of the family: Transfer RNA (tRNA) molecules are approximately 80 nucleotides in length. Their secondary structure includes four short double-helical elements and three loops (D, anti-codon, and T loops). Lineage: Eukaryota; Metazoa; Annelida; Polychaeta; Terebellida; Terebellidae. The record is from RNAcentral.